AAGUCGUAACAAGGUUUCCGUAGGUGAACCUGCGGAAGGAUCAUUAAAGUAUUCAUUCGGGGCGGACGGGUCGGCCCCGCACCGGCGGAGACGCCGUGCUGCGGGCCCUCGUACGCCCCUUCCAAACCAAACCCCUGUGAACCUUUGGGAAUGGCGGAGCCCCUCGUCGGGCGAUGCCGGCCCCACUUUACGCACCCUUUUCGUAUCAACAGAAUGACUGCGGACAUCGUCCGUCUAAACAUAUAACAACUUUCAACAACGGAUCUCUUGGCUCUC
This 276-nucleotide unclassified non-coding RNA is filed under the name air metagenome. RNAcentral describes it as "partial contains small subunit ribosomal RNA, internal transcribed spacer 1, and 5.8S ribosomal RNA". The stretch from base 1 to 46 matches the Rfam family "Eukaryotic small subunit ribosomal RNA", at positions 1786 to 1831 of the family's 1831-position model. The record is from RNAcentral.